UUGAACUGCUUUUGAAACUGUCUAUCUAGAGUAUGGGAGAGGUAGAUGGAAUUUCUGGUGUAGGGGUAAAAUCCGUAGAGAUCAGAAGGAAUACCGAUUGCGAAGGCGAUCUACUGGAACAUAACUGACGCUGAGACGCGAAAGCGUGGGGAGCAAACAGGAUUAGAUACCCUGGUAGUCCACGCCCUAAACGAUGUACACUAGUUGUUGCUAUGCUCGACAUAGCAGUAAUGCAGUUAACACAUUAAGUGUACCGCCUGGGGAGUACGGUCGCAAGAUUAAAACUCAAAGGAAUAGACGGGGACCCGCACAAGCGGUGGAGCAUGUGGUUUAAUUCGACGAUACGCGAAGAACCUUACCUGGUCUUGACAUAGUAAGAACCAUUUAGAGAUAGAUGGGUGUCUGCUUGCAGAAACUUAUAUACAGGUGCUGCACGGCUGUCGUCAGCUCGUGUCGUGAGAUGUUGGGUUAAGUCCCGCAACGAGCGCAACCCUCGUCAUUAGUUGCUAACACUUCGGGUGAGAACUCUAAUGAGACUGCCUACGCAAGUAGGAGGAAGGUGAGGACGACGUCAAGUCAUCAUGGCCCUUACGACCAGGGCUACACACGUGCUACAAUGGGGUAUACAAAGAGCAGCGAUACAGUGAUGUGGAGCAAAUCUAAAAAAUACCUCCCAGUUCGGAUUGUAGUCUGCAACUCGACUACAUGAAGUUGGAAUCGCUAGUAAUCGUAGAUCAGCAAUGCUACGGUGAAUACGUUCCCGGGUCUUGUACUCACCGCCCGUCACACCAUGGGAGUUGAUUUCACUCGAAGCGGGGAUGCUAAGAUAGCUA
Molecule: ribosomal RNA, 833 nt
Filed under: Malaciobacter canalis
Lineage: Bacteria; Pseudomonadati; Campylobacterota; Epsilonproteobacteria; Campylobacterales; Arcobacteraceae
Description: bacterial SSU rRNA
Rfam family: Bacterial small subunit ribosomal RNA
Source: RNAcentral